CUUGCGAUUUGAAGGCUCAAAUGGAGACGAAGCCGGAGCUCCGAUCUCUUCGCGGCGGCGGUGGCAAUGGUGGUAUGCGUGGCUUUCGGGAUGCUCCUCUGGCUCCAUGGCGGUGGGAUGGCUUCGGAUCUAUGUACACAUGGAGGCCUGUGGCUCCCGCUUAGAGAAAGAGCGGCGUGGCGAUGGCGUCUUUGAUCUCUCCCGUCAACUGGAACGCCUCUUUUAGUUGGAUCUCUUCAGCAGGAUUGCGGAGAAAUCAGAAUUUCCAUGCAGGAAGAUGACAAGAAAAAUCUUAGAAUCCAGUGUUUAAGAGGAACUGGAGAUUGUCUAAAACCCUGGUAUAUUCAAAUUGAAUCACAAUGACGAGUUGAUUUUUAGGAGGAUCACAUAACAACUGCUACGACACAAAUUCAUGAGUAUUCUUACAUAAAAGAAUGACAUGAGGCUGAUCUGGAUUAGCUUGUAAUAUUUAGAAAAUUUACAAGGGGAUUAUAUUUAGAGAUAAUUGCUGCUAAGAGGCUUCCAUCUCGGAAAUGUAAAAUUGAUACACUUAGUUUGAUGGCAUUUCCUACUGCCUAUAGAUGUAUUUUGAUGGCCUUUCCAUACUAGCAAGAAUGAUGCUAUGAUGAAAAAGGUAAGAUAUGGUUGAUAAAUCAUGGCAUUAUAGCAUCUUGACUUGGCUUGUCAUGCUCAGAAAACUUAGCAAGAGAACUAGAUUUUGGGAAGUUUUUGCUUAGAAGCCUUAAAUCUAGGUAAGAUAUAAUCGAUAAAUGUAGUUCGAUGACCUUUCCAUACUGUUUAUGGUAUAAGAAUAUGUGAUUUCUAGUUAGAUUUGAUUAGAUAAAAUUGACAUUGGUUGUUGUUUGUUUUAGUGAGACCAACUCUUGCACUUGUCCAACGGGCUUAACUCCUUGCUUGAUAUCUUCUCUACUAACAAUAUUAAUUUACAAACUUGUUUGAUUAAAUUUAGAGUAGAAAUUAUACAAUAGAACAGAUAAGUGAUUUUUUGUGUAAUCCUUUUCAAAUAGUAUGCCUUUAGGCUUAACUUACACAUGGCUUUAUGGGCUUGAUGAAUUGAGUCUUCCGUCCCUUAAUUAAUUCUUGGCCACAAUUGCAUCAUUCGUAUCAUCGAAAGCAUAGCAGCUGAGUUGUUAAGCUUCUUUAAGUAGCUUCGACAAAGUCGAUGUUGGGCAGGGUUCUGCAAUUUCCGCCAAAGCUGAUGGUAUUGGAGGUGUUUGCUCCGCGUGUGCUUGCUCACCAAUGAUAUUUUAAUAAUUCAUGGAAUCUUGGUAAACAUCCAUGCAUGUACCUGCUGCAUUUGAACCCACUCUCGUUGCUCUGGCCACAGUACCAUCACCAAUGAUAUUUUAAGAAUUUAUGGAUUCUUGGUAAACAUCAUAAGUUGGCAGCCGUCCCUGAAAGUCCCGGCAAGCUUUAAAUGCUUGAUAAGCUUCUGCUGUAUGCUAUGGUACUGUGUCCAGAGCAACGAGAGUGGGUUCAAGUGCAGCAGGUGCAUGCAUGGAUGUCUAGUAGUAGAUUCAGGUUCAUUGAGUAUAACCGGAAGGUUUUGUGGUGGUGGUGCUAUGCUGGAGACUGAGAUUGCUUAUUGUCUAAGUGGUGAUAAGUGUGGAGGCGGAGCAGGUGCUCCAUGAAUCGGGUUUUUGCGUGGAAGAAAAGUGGGGAUAGGAGCAGGAGCAGCAGCGUCACGUUGCGACUCAUAUUUGAUAAACAUAUGUUUAGUCUCACAAACAUGUUUAUAAACAUAUGUUAUCAAAUACUGACAUAUUUGAUAACAAUCUACACAAGAAAUAAACUUUUGUCUCCGGUGUUCAUGCAUCUAUACUACAUGUUCAACUCUAACUAGAUACACUAAACAUGUUUAUAAACAUAUGUUUAGGUGUGAAAAAAAAUGUAAAACUAGCUUUGAUAUCUUGAAGUAGGUAAUGUGUACAUCCACUUAAGUUUUAGACAUUGCAAGGCUUACCACUAUGCCAAUUCAAUGGUCUUCAAUUGGUAUCAUGCUCACAAUCAUUAUGAACAAGAUUCAAACUGCUUUGUUAUACACUCUAAAUAUAUAAUAAAAACCGCCGUGGUAUCUUAAAGUAGAGAACUUCCUUAAGGGGGGAAAACCUAAUCCUAAUCAACCACGGCACCUCCUGAUAAACUGGUCUGAGGAGACUGCCAUUGCAGUAGCCAGUAAAUAUGCAUUUCUAGUCCAAUAUGUGAUGCAUGAAAAGUUCUCGUAGCUAUUGAAGUCAAUCGGGUUUGAUUCGACUAAAUGGAACAAAACUUCACUUUUCCCCUAAGCAGUGUAAAUCUGACAAUGCCACUUUGAUUCUUGACUCCAAACUUAGCCAAACUUCAAUCAAUCAAUCUAACAUUUCCAGUGAUACUUCAAAUAUAUGAUAUCCAUGUUUCAAGGCUUAAAAACCAAGUAUAAACCAUAUUUACAACCCAGAUAUGAAAGCCUCAAAAAUGCAUUCUCUCAUCAAUUUACUUCAAAUCAAUGUAAACCAAGUUGAAUCUAGCUUGCUUCCACCCAGAUCAAUAUAUACCUAGUUCAACUUCAAAUCACUUCAUAAAAUAGUUCUUUACAUUUCAAGAACAAAAUUCAUGUUUCAUUUAAGAAUUAUUGCACCAAGAUGGACCGUAUAGAGGAACAUCAGCUAAAAGAAAUUUAAAACUAACAGUGAGGAUGAAAGACACUCAGAUUUUACGUGGAAUACCUCUUAAAAAAUUAGUGGAAAAACCAUGAAGAAAGAUAGAAGAAUUUUAUUAAUGUGGGAAAAUAGAAAGAUAGAAAAAUUUCAUUAAUGUGGGAAAAUUAGGAGUUAUGAUCACUCUAUUUAUAAGGAUAAAACAAUUUUAUUCUCUUAUAGUAGGAGAAAAUACUCUUACUCUCAAACUCACAAGGAAGAGGUAUUAUAUUUUUUUUUUCUAUCUCACUCCCUCUCUUGUAUGUGUUUAAGUACUUCAUCUCUUGCAUUUUUAUUGCCAAGAGCUUCACCAACUUCAAUCAGUCUUUUUGACUUUUAUUAUUAUUAUUAUUCUGUUUGCAGCCGGCGAGUAGGUGAGUUGAUUUCACUAACUAACAAUUCUUUCAU
This is a long non-coding RNA of Dioscorea cayenensis subsp. rotundata (Guinea yam), 3104 nucleotides long. RefSeq lists it as uncharacterized. NCBI's taxonomy places the organism in Eukaryota, Viridiplantae, Streptophyta, Magnoliopsida, Dioscoreales, Dioscoreaceae. The record is from RefSeq and is a predicted model, not a curated record. The transcript is spliced from 3 exons.